CUCCGCCCCGCCGCCGCCCCUCAGAAAAUAAUAAACAAUCGAGUAAAAUGCGGCGCGGGGCGGGGGUCCGGGCGGGCCCCUCGCUCCGGGCCCUGCCUGCAGCCCUGCCGCCAGAAAAGCCUUUCCUCUAGGUGCUGCGGCGCUCGCACGGAAAUUGCCUCAGCCAGAAGGAACUGGGUAACUGCUGACUCAGGAGCUGCAUCAAGUCGGAGGAAUGGGAAGGGGCUCGUGUUUCCCGAGUGCCUGUGGAGCCGCAGAGCGAUGGGACAGCGCCGGGCACCUCCUGCCUGCCGUCCUGUCCUGGAAAAGCGAUCCCAGCAGCGUGUUCUAAGAAGCCAGAGCCUGCUGCAGUGGCAGUGGGGACUGCUCUACUUGCAGGAAUGUUGGGACUAAUCAUGUGAGAAAAGAUCCUGGAGUGAUGAGGCAGCAUAUUUCCCAUGUCUGAGGUCAGGAUUUGUUCUGUGAAGCUGACCUUUAAAACAGCCUGAAAAUGAGGAACGUGGCACCAGAGAGCAGAGCAGGAAGCAUGAAAUUAUGUAAGAUAUGUUUCUUCUGCAUAUGAAAUACUUUUUUUUUAAAGCUCCAGGUUUGUGAUUCAGCAUUUUCUGCCACUGAGAGAUACAAGAAAGGGGAAAAUUCUGUAGCAAAGAAAGAAAGUCCCUAUUGUUCUAAUCAAAACCUAAUAAAAUAUUAGCCACCGGGUACUUUUGUUCCCUU
This 717-nucleotide long non-coding RNA is filed under the name Junco hyemalis (dark-eyed junco). Its description in RNAcentral is "lncRNA (ENSJHYG00000017614.1)". Lineage: Eukaryota; Metazoa; Chordata; Aves; Passeriformes; Passerellidae. The record is from RNAcentral.